GUGUCUGUCAGCCAGUUUCCCAGCCCCUGGUGCACUGAAGCUCAGGCCUUUCCUGGCAUCCUGGCCUCCUGCACUGAGCUGUGUGAGUGCUUCUGCCCAGGCAGGCCACUUGGCAUUGACCGGUAUAGAUGGUGACCCUGAAGAAAGACUUCAGUUGGGCCUGAAGGCCCCGGGCCAGUGUCCAUCAUCCAGGUGCUCAGCUCCCAGUGCACUGAAGCUCAGACCCUUCCUGGUUCCCUGGUCUCUUGCACUGAGCUCUGAUGGUGAGACUUGAGGAAGACUUCCACUGGGCCUGCUUUUCCUGAGCCAGUGCCCAUCACCCAGGUGCUCAGUCCCUGGUGCACUGAAGCUCCAGCCCUUCCUGGCGCCCUGGUCUCCUGAACUGAGCUGUGUGAGCUCUUCUGCCAAGCGGUUCCCCUGGCAUUGACCAACAUAGAUGGUGAGCCUGGAGGAAGACUUGCGUUGGGCCCAAAGGCCCUAGACCAGUGUCUGUCAGCCAGGUUCCCAACCCCCGAUGCGCUGAAGCUCAAGCCUUUCCUGGCACCCUGGUCUCCUGCACUGAGCUGUGUGAGCUCUUCUGCCCAGGCGGGCCCCCUGGAAUUGAUGGGUAUAGAUGGUGACCCCGGAGGAAAAUUUGUGUUGGGCCCACUAUCCCUGGGCCAAUGUCAGUCAGCUAGGCACCCAGCCCCCAGUGCGCUGAAGCUCAGGACCUUCCUAGUGCCCUCGGCUCCUGCACUGAGCUCUGAUGGUAAGCCUGGAGGAAGACUUGUGUUGGGCCCACAGGCCCCAGGCCAAUGUCUGUCAGCCAGGUGCUCAGCCUCUGGUGCGCUGAAACUCUGACCCUUCCUGGCACACUGGUCUCCUGCACUGAGCUGGGAUUUUCCACCUAGGAGGUCCACCUGGCAUUGACUGACAUAGAUGGUGAGACUUCUGUCGGCCUCGCUUUUCCUGGGCCAGUGUCCAUCAGCCAGGUGCUCAGCCCCAGUGCACUGAAGCUCCAGCCCUUCCUGGCGCCCUGGACUGAGCUGUGUGAGCUCUUCUGCCAAGGGGGUCCUCCUGGCAUUGACCAACAUAGGUGGUGAGCCUGGAGGAAGACUUGCAUUGGGCCCAAUGGCCCUGGACCAGUGUCUGUCAGCCAGGUUCCCAGCCCCCGAUGCGCUGAAGCUCAAGCCUUUCCUGGCACCCUGGUCUCCUGCACUGAGCUGUGUGAGCUCUUCGGCCCAAGUGGUCCCCCCGGCCUUAAGCGGCAUAGUGAGCUCUUCCAAACAGGUGGGCUCCCUAGCAUUGACCGACAGAGUGAGCUCUGCCACCCAGGACAUCCCCCUGGCAUUGACUGGCAUAGAUGCUGACCCUGGAGGAAGACUUGUGUCGGGCCCCCAGGCCCCAGGCCAGUGUCCAUCAGCCAGGUGCUCAGCUCCCAGUGCGCUGAAGCUCAGACCCUUCCUGGCACCCUGGUGUCCAGCACUGAGCUGUGUGAGCUUUUCCACCCAGGUGGGCCCCCUGGCAUUGACCGACAUAGAUGAUGAGACUGGAGGAAGACUUCCAUUGGGCCCACUUUUCCUGGGCCAGUGUCCAUCAGCCAGGUGCUCAGCCCCUGGUGUACUGAAGCUCCAGCCUUUCCUGGUGCCCCAGUCUUCUGCACUAAGCUGUGUGAGCUCUUCCACCCAGGAGGGCCCCUUGGCAUUGACUGGCAUAGAUGGUGAGACGGGAGGAAGACUUGUGUUGGGCCUGCUGUUCCUGGGCCAGUGGCCAUCAGCCUGUUGCCCAGCCCCUGAGGCGCUGAAGCUCAGGCCCUUCCUCACACCCUGGUCUCCUGCACUAGCUGUGUGAGCUCUUCUGCCCAGGUGGGGCCCAUGGCCUUACACGACAUAGGAGCACGCAUUUCUUGAAGUCCUGCAAAGGUGAUGGUGGUCCAGACAGGAGAGGGUUCCUUCAGCCCAACAUAGCGCAGCUCCCAGCUGAAACUCGGAAGGCUGGUCAGGCCUCGAGGACUGCCCAGGCCACAUGAGGGUUUGGUGGCCGGGAGGGCCAAUGAUGCUCUGCGUCUGUGUUGGAUCAGUGUUCUUCAUGGAUUCCAUCACAUGGUGAGCCUUGAGGAAGACUUGUAUUGGGCCCCCACAGGCCCCAGGCCAGUGUCCGUCAGCCUGGUGCUCACCCCCAGUGUGCUGAAGCUCAGACCCUCCGUGGCACCCUGGUCUCCUGCACUGAGCUGUGUGAACUUUUCCUCCCAGAUGGGCCCCCUGGCAUUGACUGGCAUAGAUGGUGAGACCGGAGGAAGACUUGCAUUGGGCCUGUUGUUCCUGGGCCAGUGGCCAUCAGCCUGUUGCCCAGCCCCUGAUGCGCUGAAGCUCGGGCCCUUCCUCGCGCCCUGGUCUCCUGCACUGAGCUGUGUGAGCUCUUCUGCCCAGGUGAGGCCCAUGGCCUUAAGCGGCAUAGAUGGUGAGCCUGGAGGAAGACUUGUAUUGGGACCCUACAGGCCCCAGGCCAGUGUCUGUCAGCCUGGUGCUCAUCCCCCAGUGCGCUGAAGCUCAGACCCUCCCUGGCACCCUGGUCUCCUGCACUGAGCUGUGAUGGUGAGUCUGGAGGAAGACUUGUGUUGGACCCCCACAGGCCCCAGGCCAGUGUCCAUCAGCCUGGUGCUAAUCCCCCAGUGCUCUGGAGUUUGGACCCUCCCUGGCACCCUGGUCUCCUGCACUGAGCUGUGUGAGCUCUUCCACCCGGGCGGGCCCCCGGCAUUGACUGGCAUAGGUGGUGAGCCCGGAGGAGGACUUGCGUUCGGCCCGCUGGUCCCAGUGUGUCCGGAAUUGGUGGGUUCUUGGUCUCACUGACUUCAAGAAUGAAGCUGCGGACCCUCGCUAUGAUGAUAUGGAAGAAAAGCACUCUUUGGCCUGUUGUGACUGGGACAGUUGACAGCACCCAGGUGUCCUUUAAUGAAAAUGCUCUUGACACCAAUGCAUCCUAGCAUCACAGCUUCAGGAAGCCUUCUCAAGUGUGCAUGGGGAGUACUAUGUCUUUCAUCAAUAAUGAAAUCUUCUGAUUUGUAAGACAUGCUGCCAAGAGAUGUGCCAUUCUAUUAUAAAAGAUCAGUAGCUUCCUUUACCGACGUGUAUAUUCUAUCUAGAACAUUGAGCUAUGGAAGACUCCCACCUAAGGGAAUUAGUUUUACACCUUCAGAUAAAGACUGCUGAGAAGAGCACCCUCUGGUGUUGUCACAGAGGCAAGUGCUACCGCACAGGCAUGCUGCAGUGAAUUUAACUGAUCCUCUGUCCCUGCAACCGUUGUUUAAGGAUGCUAUUCUGAAAAGACUGUGGAGGAAGAAAACCCUUUACCCUGUUGUUCAGGGAGAAACUGACACCACUCAACUGCCUGGCACUGAAAAUGUGGCAUCCAGUCCACUUUACCAUCAGUGUUUAAGGAAACCAUCUCUGAUAAGGAUGACUGAGGAAGAGUACUCUUUGGCUUGUUGACACCAGCACAGCUGACACACCCAGAUAUCUGUUUGGUCUCCUGUGAACUUUCAACCAGGAUUUAAGGAUGCCACUCUGGUUAAAAGCUGAAACAACUUCAAGGAAACUUCAGGGAAAAGAGAAGGCCUGGAAUCUGAUCCUCCACUUCAGAGAACAGGGGUGGUGGAGUCUAUGGCCCUUCUCCUUGAAUCUGAGUGAAAUUAGUGAGUCUUUCAAUCCAAAGACUACAGUCAUACCUCAACUAUCUACAGAGGACUGGUUCCAGGACUCCCAUGGAUCCCAAAAUCCAAGGAUGCUUCGAAUCCCUUAUAUAAAAUGGCAUGGUAUUUGCAUAUAACCUACAUGCAUCUUCAAAUAUGUUAAACCAUCUCUAGAUUACUUAUAAUACCAAAUACAAUGUAAUGCUAUGUAAACAGUUGUUACAAUGUAUUGUCAAAGACAAGCUCUCCUUGCCAAUCCCUGACCAAAUGAGAGAUUCAUGAGCAAAAUAAAUAGUUGCUGAUAUUUAAGGCACUAAGUUUGGGGCAAUGUAUUACACAGCAAUAAAUAACUGGAACAGCAUAGUAAAUUCUAGUUAAAAAUACUAAACUACUAAGUUUUAGUUAACAUACAUGCUCAAGUUAAGGGUGUGGUAUACUAACAACUGCAACUUACUUUGAAAAGCAUAAAAAAAGACACUAGAAGAAGACAGGAUGGAUAGAUGGACAAGAUAGAAGACAAUAACAAAUAGAACAAAAUGUUGUGAAAUUAUAUUCUACAAUUAUUUUAAAGUCUGUGUGGUUUGAAAAAUUGUACGAUAAAAUGAAGAGUGAAAUAAAGACAUUUCCAUACAAACAAAAGCUGAAAGAUUUUGUAGCCAGUAGACCUAUACUUUAGAAAUGUUUAAGAAAUUUUUUCAAGUAAAAGGAAAAUAACACCAGCAACAAACUUGGAUCUACAAAAAGGAAUCUCCACAAAGAAAAAUAAAUAAAAAUGGUAAAUAUGAAGGUAAAUAUAAAGGAAUGUUAUUCUUAGUUUUUAAGUUUCUUCGUAAGACAACUGGCCUUUGAAAGAAAUAGUUUCAAACGCUGCUGUGGAAUCUAUAACACAUAUAGAAGUAAAAUGUUAAGAUCAUAAUACCAAAAAGAAUGAGGGAGAGUAAAUGGAUGUAUACUAUUCCAAAAUUCUUACAUUAUACAUUAAGAGGAAUAAUAUUUUUGAAGGUAGAUUGAGGUAAGUUAAAGGUGCAUAUUGUAAAUCCUAGAAGUAUCACUGGGGGGAAAAAAAACAGAGGGACAAGCUAAUAAUGGAGACAAUACAAAAUUCCAAAAAUGCUCCAUUAACCGAAAAGAAGGCAGAAAAGGAAGAAAAGAUUAGACAAAUAGAAAACAAAUAGUGUCUUAAACACAAUUAUAUUGCCAACUGCAAUAAAUGUAAAUGGACUUAAUCAAAAAGCAACGAUCGUAAAAAGUCAAUCUGAAAGCAAGAUGCAACUAUAUGCUAUCUAAAAGAAAGACAUUAAAUGACCAAUAAGCUGAAAAUAAAAACACAGCAAAAUGAUAUAAUGUGCAAAAAUUAAUCAUAAGAAAGGAAUGGAUACACUAAUAUCAAAGUAGACUUUAGAUAAGGAACAUUACCAGCGAUAAACAGAGACAUUUCAUAAUGAUAAAGACAUCAAUUAAUCAAGGAGAUCUAACAGUCCUAAAUGUGAACACACCUAAGGACACAA
This is a long non-coding RNA of Homo sapiens (human), 5175 nucleotides long. Ensembl annotates it as small nucleolar RNA host gene 14. Its record names the gene SNHG14. The record is from Ensembl. NCBI's taxonomy places the organism in Eukaryota, Metazoa, Chordata, Mammalia, Primates, Hominidae.